AAAAAGUUGAAAUCGAAAAGAAGAAUAGAAAUUUAUUAAACGUUGUGGUCUGUUUAACACAGUUUCCUUAAGACAGAUUCGGCUGCUCUUACGAUACUUGGAGAAAUAUUGAUUGACUAUCUCCCAGGAUACAACAACACAAUGAUCAAUGCAGUAGCACCUCUGCAGCGAUUAACGAACAAACGUUACCUUUUUCUAUCACUGGUGUAUAAGCCCAAAUUGCCCGGGCCAAACAAAAACAAAGCAGGCAAUUUUAGUUUUUUUUAAUAGCAGGCCUAAACUCGUCUAAGGCCCAAAUAUCCAAUAACAGGCCCAACAGCCAAUUUUUAAACCCUAGCCCAGCAAAAAAAAAUAGAAUAGCAGAAACCCUAGCUUCUGCCUCAACGCCGCAGCAACUGCUUCCGCGCGUCAUGGCCGUCGAUCCCGCACAUCGUGCCCCUCGCCGCCACGAAUCUCGCGCCUUCCCUGCACGUUGAACCUACAGCAACAAACGCAAACAGAACGGCAAAAAUCUUGCUAACAAAAACAAAGGGGAUUUCUUUGGAUUUGAUUUCUUUUUCUUUUCUCGGCUAUUUAAAGGCCGAUUUUAAUCUGUAUUUGGGGAAAUUGCAAUGUAAAAACACACAGAAAAAUCAGAGGAGAGAAAAAACUAAUAGGAAAGAAAUAUAAUUUUUUUUCUUUGAAAUACAAAAGGUGAUUUUCUUUCAUUUUAUUUAUUUGGUUCAUCAUUCUUAGUUUCGUUUUUUAUUUUUAUUUUUAUUUUUAUUUUUAUUUUUUUCCCUUUUUUUUGUUUUCAUUUACCUUUCGCUUAAAACAACAAAGAAAAGAAGGAAGGAAAACUUACCUUUCGUCGGAGUCGCCGUGCCACCGCCAUCUCCGUCGCAAAUCGGAGCUUUGGUGAAGGCAUAGGGCUGAAUGGCGACGCAAAGAAAGGGGUUAAGAAAAACCCUAGCAGACCACUGUGUUUUUAAAAAAGAAAAGAAGC
This 985-nucleotide long non-coding RNA is filed under the name Gossypium barbadense (sea-island cotton). RNAcentral's name for it is "long non-coding RNA (GBAR_LNC016262)". Lineage: Eukaryota; Viridiplantae; Streptophyta; Magnoliopsida; Malvales; Malvaceae. The record is from RNAcentral.